RNAcentral lists this ribosomal RNA (850 nucleotides) under Vibrio sp. RNAcentral's name for it is "bacterial SSU rRNA". It matches the Rfam family "Bacterial small subunit ribosomal RNA", at positions 37 to 866 of the family's 1533-position model. Lineage: Bacteria; Pseudomonadati; Pseudomonadota; Gammaproteobacteria; Vibrionales; Vibrionaceae. The record is from RNAcentral.
UGGCGGCAGGCCUAACACAUGCAAGUCGAGCGGAACGAGUUAUCUGAACCUUCGGGGAACGAUAACGGCGUCGAGCGGCGGACGGGUGAGUAAUGCCUAGGAAAUUGCCCUGAUGUGGGGGAUAACCAUUGGAAACGAUGGCUAAUACCGCAUGAUGCCUACGGGCCAAAGAGGGGGACCUUCGGGCCUCUCGCGUCAGGAUAUGCCUAGGUGGGAUUAGCUAGUUGGUGAGGUAAGGGCUCACCAAGGCGACGAUCCCUAGCUGGUCUGAGAGGAUGAUCAGCCACACUGGAACUGAGACACGGUCCAGACUCCUACGGGAGGCAGCAGUGGGGAAUAUUGCACAAUGGGCGCAAGCCUGAUGCAGCCAUGCCGCGUGUGUGAAGAAGGCCUUCGGGUUGUAAAGCACUUUCAGUCGUGAGGAAGGUAGUGUAGUUAAUAGCUGCAUUAUUUGACGUUAGCGACAGAAGAAGCACCGGCUAACUCCGUGCCAGCAGCCGCGGUAAUACGGAGGGUGCGAGCGUUAAUCGGAAUUACUGGGCGUAAAGCGCAUGCAGGUGGUUUGUUAAGUCAGAUGUGAAAGCCCGGGGCUCAACCUCGGAAUAGCAUUUGAAACUGGCAGACUAGAGUACUGUAGAGGGGGGUAGAAUUUCAGGUGUAGCGGUGAAAUGCGUAGAGAUCUGAAGGAAUACCGGUGGCGAAGGCGGCCCCCUGGACAGAUACUGACACUCAGAUGCGAAAUUCGUGGUGAGCAAACAGGAUUAGAUACCCUGGUAGUCCACGCCGUAAACGAUGUCUACUUGGAGGUUGUGGUCUUGAGCCGUGCCUUUCGGAGCUAACGCGUUAAGUA